UACGUAGGGUGCGAGCGUUAAUCGGAAUUACUGGGCGUAAAGCGUGCGCAGGCGGUUUUUUAAGCCAGGUGUGAAAUCCCCGGGCUCAACCUGGGAAUGGCAUUUGGGACUGCAAGGCUGGAGUUUGGCAGAGGAGACUGGAAUUCCUGGUGUAGCAGUGAAAUGCGUAGAUAUCAGGAGGAAUACCGAUGGCGAAGGCAGGUCUCUGGGCUGACACUGACGCUCAUGCACGAAAGCGUGGGGAGCAAACAGG
This 253-nucleotide ribosomal RNA is filed under the name uncultured bacterium. RNAcentral's name for it is "partial 16S ribosomal RNA". It matches the Rfam family "Bacterial small subunit ribosomal RNA", at positions 524 to 776 of the family's 1533-position model. The record is from RNAcentral.